GGAAAAUUAUUAAAUUGUGUGAAUAUGCUGCCAAGAACCCCCACCGAAUUCCAAAGAUUGCCAAGUAUCUUGAACAAAGGUGCUCAAAAGAAUUGAGGUCUGAGCAUAUCAAAUAUAUCAGUAUUAUCACAGAGGCAUACCAUAAACUGCUUUGCAUAUGAAAGGAGCAGAUGGCAUACUUCGCUCUCAAUCUACUGAUUGUUGUAAUUG
Molecule: long non-coding RNA, 210 nt
Organism: Telopea speciosissima
Lineage: Eukaryota; Viridiplantae; Streptophyta; Magnoliopsida; Proteales; Proteaceae
Exons: 3
Source: RefSeq, a predicted model, not a curated record